UGCGUAGGCGGUGCGGUAAGUCUGUUGUGAAAUCUCCGGGCUCAACUCGGAGCCUGCAACGGAAACUGCCGUGCUGGAGUAUGGGAGAGGUGAGUGGAAUUCCCGGUGUAGCGGCGAAAUGCGUAGAUAUCGGGAGGAACACCUGUGGCGAAAGCGGCUCACUGGACCAUUACUGACGCAGAUGCACGAAAGCUAGGGGAGCAAACAGGAUUAGAUACCCUGGUAGUCCUAGCCCUAAACGAUGAUCGCUUGGUGUGACAGGUACCCAAUCCUGUCGUGCCGGAGCUAACGCGUUAAGCGAUCCGCCUGGGGAGUACGGUCGCAAGGCUGAA
Molecule: ribosomal RNA, 332 nt
Filed under: uncultured bacterium
Lineage: Bacteria
Description: bacterial SSU rRNA
Rfam family: Bacterial small subunit ribosomal RNA
Source: RNAcentral